RNAcentral lists this ribosomal RNA (386 nucleotides) under uncultured Latescibacterota bacterium. RNAcentral's name for it is "bacterial SSU rRNA". It matches the Rfam family "Bacterial small subunit ribosomal RNA", at positions 998 to 1382 of the family's 1533-position model. The record is from RNAcentral. Lineage: Bacteria; Pseudomonadati; Candidatus Latescibacterota.
CCGUUGAAAGACGGUUUCCUCUUCGGAGGCACCUGCACAGGUGCUGCAUGGCUGUCGUCAGCUCGUGUCGUGAGAUGUUGGGUUAAGUCCCGCAACGAGCGCAACCCUUAUCCCUAGUUGCCAUCAGGUAAAGCUGGGAACUCUGGGGAGACUGCCGGUGAUAAACCGGAGGAAGGCGGGGGAUGACGUCAAGUCCUCAUGGCCCUUACAUCCCGGGCUACACACGUGCUACAAUGGCAGGUACAGAGGGCUGCGAAGCCGCGAGGUGGAGCGAAUCCCAGAAAACCUGUCUCAGUCCGGAUUGAAGUCUGCAACUCGACUUCAUGAAGGCGGAAUCGCUAGUAACCGCGAAUCAGCAGGUCGCGGUGAAUACGUUCCCGGGCCUU